Molecule: ribosomal RNA, 253 nt
Filed under: uncultured bacterium
Lineage: Bacteria
Description: partial 16S ribosomal RNA
Rfam family: Bacterial small subunit ribosomal RNA
Source: RNAcentral
UACGGAGGGUGCGAGCGUUGUCCGGAAUCACUGGGCGUAAAGGGCGCGUAGGCGGCCUGAUAAGUAGGGGGUGAAAUCCUGCGGCUUAACCGCAGGGCUGCCUUCUAAACUGGCAGGCUAGAGCACAGUAGAGGCAGGUGGAAUUCCCGGUGUAGCGGUGGAAUGCGUAGAGAUCGGGAAGAACAUCAGUGGCGAAGGCGGCCUGCUGGGCUGUUGCUGACGCUGAGGCGCGACAGCGUGGGGAGCAAACAGG